UGUCAAUUCAGCAAACCAAAAUGUGCAAGUCAAUAUAGAAAAACAACUGAGAAUGAUUGCGCAAGCCUAAUUCUAUGCAGAAAUAUAAUGAUACUCAUAUCACAACUUUAUUAAUAUAGAGAUGAAAGAUCAAUAUAGACAAGUUUAAGCAAAAAUGUCUCUAGCAAAGUCAUUUUCUAAUGAGCUCAACACAAAGUCAUUCCCUAUUAAGCUUAAGAUAGUCACUGAAUAGAAUAUAAAAUACAGUUCAUAUUACAAAUUAAGCAAAAAUGUCACUUGAUAUUCAGCAUACAAGUUUCCCAGUUGGCAUCUUUGAAUGUAUGCCCACUUAAAGGAUUAAUGCACGCCCACAUUCCAUGUGGCCAACAACAUACACCAAACAUAAUUUAAACCGAAGUUGGUGCCUACUACACAAACAUAAAAAUGGCAAACACACUUUAUAUAGAUCAUUUUCCCUUACGCAUAGUUAUGUUCAAUGAUAUCUUCAUGUCUUUUUCUUUAGUUAUUUGAGCAAAUGUCUUGAACAUGGACGACAAAUCUUCUCCUUAAAAUUGCAUCGGUUUUGCCCUCGAUGACGAAGCAUCAUUCCAAUAAAAAAAUCCACAAUCUCUUGUGUAACAUAAGAACAGUUAUCAUAUGUUUCUAGUAUUCUUCUCGACCUCCAUACAUUUCAUGAACCUCGACCCACAAUCUAGACAUCGUUGCUUCGAUGGGCAAUCUGAAAAUUGGUGUCGGUGCUUCUUACAACAAUAACAAAUGUCCUUGUUCUUCCCUGUCAUUGUAAUCUUCUUCUGGACAUUAUUUCAAUAACAAGUUUCCUACGCUAUGAAUUCAAUAACAAGUUUUCUACGCUAUAUACAUAAAUAUAAACUAAAAACAUGUGGCUAAGUUCACUGGUACAUCUCUCUGUAAUCUACAUAGAUGGAUAUUAAAUUUUUUUUAAACAACAAUUUAUGCGUGAUGAAUUACGUCGACAAGUAAGUACAUUUUUUUCCCCACAUUGUAUCAUGAACUUCUGUAAGAAGAUUGGAGAAAUUGAUUACGCUCAAAUCUAUUGUCGAUAACUUACCCAAACAACUUAUAUAAUAGCAUCUUCUUUGAUGGGUUCUGGCGAUGGUAGAUGUGGGUCGAAUUUUUGGGCCACAAAUCGCUAGUUCACCUAGGGUUUGCCCUUUAGAAUUGGGUAUUUCCUUCCAACUGCAAAGAAAAGAAUUCAUGAGGAGAAGAAGGGUUC
Molecule: long non-coding RNA, 1234 nt
Filed under: Olea europaea subsp. europaea
Lineage: Eukaryota; Viridiplantae; Streptophyta; Magnoliopsida; Lamiales; Oleaceae
Source: RNAcentral